Molecule: ribosomal RNA, 427 nt
Filed under: uncultured bacterium
Lineage: Bacteria
Description: bacterial SSU rRNA
Rfam family: Bacterial small subunit ribosomal RNA
Source: RNAcentral
UGGGGAAUUUUGGACAAUGGACGCAAGUCUGAUCCAGCCAUGCCGCGUGCGGGAAGAAGGCCUUCGGGUUGUAAACUGCUUUUGUACGGAGCGAAAAGGUCUGCCCUAAUACGGUGGGCUCAUGACGGUACCGUAAGAAUAAGCACCGGCUAACUACGUGCCAGCAGCCGCGGUAAUACGUAGGGUGCGAGCGUUAAUCGGAAUUACUGGGCGUAAAGCGUGCGCAGGCGGUGAUGUAAGACAGAGGUGAAAUCCCCGGGCUCAACCUGGGAACUGCCUUUGUGACUGCAUAGCUAGAGUACAGUAGAGGGGGAUGGAAUUCCGCGUGUAGCAGUGAAAUGCGUAGAUAUGCGGAGGAACACCGAUGGCGAAGGCAAUCCCCUGGACCUGUACUGACGCUCAUGCACGAAAGCGUGGGGAGCAAACA